This 72-nucleotide transfer RNA is filed under the name Eremothecium gossypii FDAG1. Its description in RNAcentral is "tRNA-Asp". The record is from RNAcentral. Lineage: Eukaryota; Fungi; Ascomycota; Saccharomycetes; Saccharomycetales; Saccharomycetaceae.
AGGAGCUACUUAUACUCAAUCUCGUUUUGUUUUAUCUUGUAGUCCGCGAUAGUUUAAUGGUUAGAAUUCGCG